UGUAAAUUGGGCGAAUGCAAUGAAGACCUUUUAGCCCAGUUGAAGAAGGAGUCGAUGGAAAGAUUGGAGGAAGAUAAAAGUUUAUAUUUUGAACCAGAAUUAGUAGAAUCAACAAUAGAUAAUGUGGUAGUUGAUCAACUAGGUGGGCUAGAAGGAUAGCAAUUUGGUAGAGUUUUAUUUAAUUUUUUUUAGAUAUGUAUCAAUUCUGUGUUUGCAAGGAUACUACAUAAUUAAGAAUGGGAUUAUAUAGAAGGGGUAGAAAUUUAUUUUUGUAAGAUAUUAGUAAAGUAGUUUAAUCAUUUCUAAGAUAGUCAAUUGAGUAGGAUGGGUGAUUGAAUUAGUUGUAAAAAAUGGUUAAGUACAAAAUGAUGGUUAGAAUCUGGAAUUUCAGAAGUAAAGCAUAAGUAAGUUGAAGAAGAUAUUCUAAAGGCCAGACUGUGAUAGUCAUAAUCUGGGGUAAGCUUGGUGCUACUUCUAUUUUUUUUUUGUUGAAGAGUAAUGGAUAAUUUCUAAAUAUUGAAAAGUGAAUCUGUGGAAUA
RNAcentral lists this long non-coding RNA (539 nucleotides) under Physcomitrium patens. Its description in RNAcentral is "long non-coding RNA (PPAT_LNC011024)". Lineage: Eukaryota; Viridiplantae; Streptophyta; Bryopsida; Funariales; Funariaceae. The record is from RNAcentral.